GGAGCAGUGAAGAACUAUUUCCUGUAGUGCUUUAUCCUACUUAACUGUGAAUAUAACCUGGAUAGCGCAUCAGGCAUGAGGCACCAUUGCCGGGCCCUGGAUAGAACUAAACCAAUAAUUCUCAGAUCUCUUUAAUACCGACUCUGUUAUAUUGUACUCUCCCAAGUGCUUUGUACAGUGCUCUGCACACAGUAGGUGCUCAAUAAAAGCAAUCGAUCGAAUCGAUUUGGUAAGCUAUUCUUUCCAUUCUCUAAACUACUGCCAGGUAGAAUAGACAUCGGUUAAAACGUUUCUCUCACGUCAUUCUCUUGUUUCUUUUCUUUUUUUUCUUCUUUCAUUUAGGAAGCUGCCUAAGAGAUUUUGUGAAUGUCGAUACUGAAUUCUCAAGGAUUAAGGCUCAGCAAAGCUGCUGUGAAGUAAUUCAGAAGGACCUACCCUAUGGAUUGGCAGCACAGAGCUAUGCUACGGUGGAAACACAACAGUUCCGGACCAUCUGAAGAGGAUGUAACAGGGCUUUAGAAAACUUCCGUUUCAGGAUGACAGCUACUGAACUGAAGGCCGAUGACCCAGAGGCUAUUUGAGUUCUUGCUGACCAGUUCGUUUCUGAAAGUAUUCCAUUCUUGAAGGCAGCCUCAGUCUGAUACAUGGGUUUCAAAUUUCUGUAAAACUCACCAGAAUAAAGAAUACAAA
This 690-nucleotide long non-coding RNA is filed under the name Ornithorhynchus anatinus (platypus). RNAcentral describes it as "lncRNA (ENSOANG00000046806.1)". The record is from RNAcentral. Lineage: Eukaryota; Metazoa; Chordata; Mammalia; Monotremata; Ornithorhynchidae.